GACGAACCGAGCGAACGUUGUUCGGAAUCACUGGGCUUAAAGGGCGCGUAGGCGGGCUGUCAAGUCUGGGGUGAAAUCCCGCGGCUCAACCGUGGAACUGCCUCAGAUACUGACGGUCUCGAGGGAGGUAGGGGCGAGCGGAACUGAUGGUGGAGCGGUGAAAUGCGUUGAUAUCAUCAGGAACUCCGGUGGCGAAGGCGUCUCGCUGGACCUCUUCUGACGCUGAGGCGCGAAAGCGUGGGGAGCAAACAGG
Molecule: ribosomal RNA, 253 nt
Filed under: uncultured bacterium
Lineage: Bacteria
Description: partial 16S ribosomal RNA
Rfam family: Bacterial small subunit ribosomal RNA
Source: RNAcentral